Molecule: non-coding RNA, 271 nt
Organism: Camelina sativa (false flax)
Lineage: Eukaryota; Viridiplantae; Streptophyta; Magnoliopsida; Brassicales; Brassicaceae
Source: RefSeq, a predicted model, not a curated record
GGUAUCGAUAUCACCGCAUCAGAGACACGCACUCCACCGUCAACAUCGACGUCUCUCUCCCCUUCACCGGCGAGGAAAAUCAACCUCACAUAGAUGAAGAAGGCGAAGAUGAAAUGAAAGAAUCGGAGAGAUGUGUGUUUCCUAAUUGAACCUCAGACAGGUCUUCAAGCCAUUACAGAUAAUAAUGGGUUUCUAUCAAGUAAACACAUUAGUCUUUUAAUCUGGAUCAGUUCCGACUUUCAUGUGACGCUCUGAACUCUCAAAUGAAUUG